GCCUGGAUAGCUCAGUGGUAGAGCAGAGGACUGAAAAUCCUCGUGUCGUCAGUUCAAUUCUGACUCUAGGCACAA
RNAcentral lists this transfer RNA (75 nucleotides) under Candidatus Moranbacteria bacterium CG23_combo_of_CG06-09_8_20_14_all_39_10. RNAcentral describes it as "tRNA-Phe". It matches the Rfam family "tRNA". Rfam says of the family: Transfer RNA (tRNA) molecules are approximately 80 nucleotides in length. Their secondary structure includes four short double-helical elements and three loops (D, anti-codon, and T loops). Further hydrogen bonds mediate the characteristic L-shaped molecular structure. tRNAs have two regions of fundamental functional importance: the anti-codon, which is responsible for specific mRNA codon recognition, and the 3' end, to which the tRNAs corresponding amino acid is attached (by aminoacyl-tRNA synthetases). tRNAs cope with the degeneracy of the genetic code in two manners: having more than one tRNA (with a specific anti-codon) for a particular amino acid; and 'wobble' base-pairing, i.e. permitting non-standard base-pairing at the 3rd anti-codon position. The record is from RNAcentral. Lineage: Bacteria; Candidatus Moraniibacteriota.